UGUCUCUUUGUCUGGCUUCUUUAGAGCGGGUGACUGAUUGUCCCUGCCAGCUGGCUAAUAUCAUAAUUAGCAAAGUUGCUACCACAUCUGCAAAGUUUAAUCGAAAAAUUUACCAGUGGUAUGAUGGCAUUGUCACCGCGAUCCUGAGGGAAUCAGAGUCGACUUCUGCUUCAACUGGAAUGGCAAGGCUGUAGAGCUGAGAUGAGAAACUGUAAACUUGCUCAGCCAAAGGAAAUAAUAUGCUCCAGAGAAUCCUCUAAUUCACCGAAAAUGGACUUGGAUAACAUUUGGGUUCUCAUACUACCACAGUCCUCUUGAGAAGGACAGCCAGGAGGCUAAUAAUGAAGGGGCCAGGGAAGGAGGCCAAUGCUACAGGGUUAUCUCCUAACCUCAGAUGUUGGAUAAGUCCAUGGAAACAGCAGCGCUUCUGGAUGGCUUCAGAAAGGCUGGAGUGAUUGUUUGGACGAGAAAAACCCGCCUAUUCAUUCAAAGGUACAUGAAUGUUGUCGACACUGUCCCAUCUAAAGGUUCAUCCUUAGAAUUCUGCCUUAGACAAAGGAAGUGCUUGGAGCCCCACCACACCUAAAACCAUGCUUUGAAGGAUCUGCCAAGCUCACUUUUAAUCAUGAGAAAGAAAUUACCCACAUGGAGACAGCAGAAAAUGAGAAAGUAGAGAUCGUGCUGCGAAUAAUUCCAGCGAGUGCCAAGGGGCUAGUUGAGGAAUGGCUUCAUGAGAUGUUAGUCUAUCUAGAACAACAGAUUUGGAUCUAAGCUGGACCUUUGAGAAAGAAAAGACUUCGAGGAAAAACACCUUUCCAUAUGUUUUAUUACCUUUCACCUGAAUUGUUUAAUGCACACUAUCCAACUAUAUUCAUCUUUCUUGCUUCAUGUGUAUUUCUUCUUUUGCUUGAACUGCUUUAGAAUUGACUUUUGAGCUACACAGUCAUUCUGGAUUUUUAAAAAGAGAAUUCUAAUAAAAACUUAUAUAUGUUGUUAA
RNAcentral lists this long non-coding RNA (997 nucleotides) under Mus musculus (house mouse). RNAcentral describes it as "rhabdomyosarcoma 2 associated transcript (non-coding RNA)". The stretch from base 544 to 736 matches the Rfam family "Rhabdomyosarcoma 2 associated transcript conserved region 9". Lineage: Eukaryota; Metazoa; Chordata; Mammalia; Rodentia; Muridae. The record is from RNAcentral.